UCUUGCAUCCUGGUACUGGGAUCUUGUCUACUUGAACUUGUUUGGCUUCAGAUGGGGAUGAAGGAUCCAGCACUUGUCUUUCAGAUGCCCCUUCUUCUUGCAGUGGUCACAGGUCAAAGACUUCCUAUCCUCUUGCUUGUAAGCAGCUUUGUUGGCUAUUACUUCCUCAGCCUUGUGAGCCAUGCUCAAGUCUCCCUUGCUUCCAAAUAGGCUCACAGACCCUUCUUCCUUCUGGAUUUGAGCACAAACAUCAUCUAGAUCAGGGAGCUUAUC
Molecule: long non-coding RNA, 273 nt
Filed under: Brassica rapa (field mustard)
Lineage: Eukaryota; Viridiplantae; Streptophyta; Magnoliopsida; Brassicales; Brassicaceae
Description: long non-coding RNA (BRAP_LNC000539)
Source: RNAcentral